Molecule: transfer RNA, 68 nt
Filed under: Labidostomis ghilianii
Lineage: Eukaryota; Metazoa; Arthropoda; Insecta; Coleoptera; Chrysomelidae
Description: tRNA-Cys
Source: RNAcentral
GGCCUUGUAUUCAAAAUUGAUUCUGGAUUGCAAAUCUAGAGGUGGAGCUAGUUAUGCUUCUAAGGCUU